AAACAUAGCUUUUCGAAAAAAUUAUGAAAAGUAAUUUCCUGCCCAGUGAAAUAUUUAAACGGCCGCGGUUUAUCCGUGCAAAGGUAGCAUAAUCACUUGUCCUUUAAUUAAGGGCUAGAAUGAAUGGAUUUACAAAAAAUAACUUUCUUUACUUUAACAAUAAAAACUAAUAUAUGAAUGAAAAAGUUCAUAUUACCUAAAAAGACCAAAAGACCCUAGCGAGCUUAAAUAUUCCUAUCUACAAAAUAAAAUAUUUUUAAUUGGGGCGAUUAAAGAUAAAUUUCAUCUUUUAUAAAAAUAAACUAUAAUCAUACCUAAUUUAAACUAAAAAAAGUUACCGUAGGGAUAACAGGCUACUCAAUUUUUAAAGUCCAUAUUAACAAAUUGUCUUAGCACCUCGAUGUUGGCUUAAGGAUACUCUAAAAUGCAACAGUUUUAUAAAGUAGGCUUGUUCCGCCUU
RNAcentral lists this ribosomal RNA (460 nucleotides) under Ophryotrocha sp. m JP-2020. RNAcentral describes it as "partial large subunit ribosomal RNA". It matches the Rfam family "Bacterial large subunit ribosomal RNA", at positions 1811 to 2588 of the family's 2925-position model. The record is from RNAcentral. Lineage: Eukaryota; Metazoa; Annelida; Polychaeta; Eunicida; Dorvilleidae.